Gossypium arboreum is the source of this 107-nucleotide non-coding RNA. NCBI's taxonomy places the organism in Eukaryota, Viridiplantae, Streptophyta, Magnoliopsida, Malvales, Malvaceae. The record is from Rfam.
AACCCAUGGUGAGGGCACCUUCUUAGUAAGUCAUUGUAUCUCUCACAUGCAUCGUAAAGUGUUUCUAAAUCCAUCUGCACAAAAGAAGAGAUAUCAUUACGUAAUUU